Molecule: ribosomal RNA, 140 nt
Filed under: Glycera sp. DC-2019
Lineage: Eukaryota; Metazoa; Annelida; Polychaeta; Phyllodocida; Glyceridae
Description: partial small subunit ribosomal RNA
Rfam family: Eukaryotic small subunit ribosomal RNA
Source: RNAcentral
GCUACUACCGAUUGAAUGGUUUAGUGAGAUCCUCGGAUUGGUCCCGGCAUGGUGGGCAACUGCCGCGUCGUGGUGCCGAGAAGACGAUCAAACUUGAUCAUUUAGAGGAAGUAAAAGUCGUAACAAGGUUUCCGUAGGUG